AUGGCGGCGUCGGAGGCGGACGCGAGGCCGGUGCUGGUGCCGGGCGGCAACAAGGCCCCGGCGGCUGAGCGGAAACCUUCUCCCAAGCCGUUGCGGAAGGCGCCGGAGAAGCCUCCAGCCGCUGACCCGGCCAAAGAGGAUGAGGUGCAGGGCGCGAAGAAGGACGCGGGGGCCGCCACUGCUGUUGGCGACGGCGGCGCUAGGAAGGGGAACUCGUCCCCAUUGCCGCCACCGAGGAAGCUGCAAGAUGCGCCGGCGGUGAACCUCAACGCGUCCUGCUCCUCGGAGGCCUCCGCGGAGUCGCUCCGCGGCCGGGCCCCAGGCGGAAGGACGGAGAGGGGUUGGUCCCGGCCGACCGCGCCCAAGCGUGGGAAGGCUGCGUCUAAGGUGGUGGAGAAGCACGCCGAUGUCGCGGAGGUUGCCGCUCCGGUGACGCCGGAGGCCGUCCGAGGGAGGAGCCGGUGCGCCUGGGUGACUCCGACCACCGGGCACGCCUCCGAGCUAGCCGAUGCAUACUAUAUCCAGUGUUCUGCUGCAUCCGGUGCCACCUCAAAGAACACCUUCUUCUAG
Molecule: ribosomal RNA, 570 nt
Filed under: Triticum aestivum (bread wheat)
Lineage: Eukaryota; Viridiplantae; Streptophyta; Magnoliopsida; Poales; Poaceae
Description: partial small subunit ribosomal RNA
Source: RNAcentral